AAACUUCUUUAUACGGGAAUAAAGUAUCCUACGUGUAGGAUUUUGUAUGUACCGUAUGAAUAAGCAUCGGCUAACUACGUGCCAGCAGCCGCGGUAAUACGUAGGUGGCAAGCGUUGUCCGGAUUUAUUGGGCGUAAAGCGAGUGCAGGCGGCUCGAUAAGUCUGAUGUGAAAGCCUUCGGCUCAACCGGAGAAUUGCAUCAGAAACUGUCGAGCUUGAGUACAGAAGAGGAGAGUGGAACUCCAUGUGUAGCGGUGAAAUGCGUAGAUAUAUGGAAGAACACCGGUGGCGAAGGCGGCUCUCUGGUCUGUUACUGACGCUGAGGCU
This 327-nucleotide ribosomal RNA is filed under the name uncultured bacterium. RNAcentral describes it as "bacterial SSU rRNA". It matches the Rfam family "Bacterial small subunit ribosomal RNA", at positions 427 to 753 of the family's 1533-position model. The record is from RNAcentral.